GUUCUACUUCUGGAAUGUUCUUAUUUGACAAACAUGGCUGGCAAUGCCAUCCUUCACAGCCCUGACGUCAAGAAGCAGCCAAAGAAAUGCUAAGGCCCUAUGUUUACAGGCCUAAUACUCCUGGAUCCGGAGCUCAAAACUGUGAAGGCCGACUAGAGCAAAGCAAACAGCAGCGGAAGUAGGGCUGAUGCUUUUAUCUCAGUGGUAGAGUUUUCAGGAAGUAAGUAAAGAACAUUAACAAGGAGUUGCUGCACUUAGAACACCUACAAUAGUGGAUCCAACUGAGAAGCAACUGGUGACAUCAUGCCCUACUCCCUUGACAAUAGACACACAGCAGUACCUGGUUCCAAAAUAAGACAAUAAAAGCUCCUGGUGUGUUGUGGGAAA
This 387-nucleotide long non-coding RNA is filed under the name Mus musculus (house mouse). RNAcentral describes it as "predicted gene, 31447 (Gm31447)". Lineage: Eukaryota; Metazoa; Chordata; Mammalia; Rodentia; Muridae. The record is from RNAcentral.